UGAGUUUGAUCCUGGCUCAGAAUGAACGCUAGUGAUUUGUUUAAGACAUGCAAGUUCAACUUUUUUUCAUUAAUUAAAAAGUGGCGAACGGGUGAGUAAUACAUGAGAAUUUACCCAGUUAUUUAGGUAAAUCCUAAAUAAAAAAAAAUAGUUUUAAUAAAGAUUAAUUCGUAAUUGGAUAAGCUUGUGUAAGAUUAGGUAGUUUGUGUGAUAAAAGCUCACAAAGCCUUCAAUCUUUAGUUGAUCUGAGAGGAUGGUCAACCACACUGGGACUGAGACACGGCCCAGACCUCGGAAGAGGGCAGCAGUCGAGAAUCUUAGGCAAUGAGCGACAGCUUGACCUAGCAAAAUCACGUGUAUGAUGAAGGCCAUUUGGUUGUAAAAUACUUUCAUUAAGGAUAAUAAUGAUAUUACUUAAAGAAGAAGUCCCGGCUAAUUUCGUGCCAGCAGCCGCGGUAAAACGAAAGGGGCAAGCGUUAUUCGGAAUUUUUGGGCGUAAAGGGUGCGUAGAUGGUUUAGAAUUUUAUAAUUGAAAUUUUGAGUACUUAAUACUUAUAGAGGUUAUAAAUCUUUCUAAACUUGAGUAUAAAAAAUAAUUGUAGAAUUUUAAGAGUAACAAUGAAAUGUGAAGAUACUUAAAGGAAUACCAGUGGUUAAAACGGCAAUUAUGUUUAUUACUGACAUUGAGGCACGAAAGCGUGGGUAGCAAAAAGGAUUAGAGACCCUUGUAGUCCACGCCUUAAACGAUGAGUAUUAGUCUUUGGCAUUUGUCAGAGACUAAGCUAACGCAUUAAAUACUCCGCCAGGGGAGUACGAUCGCAAGAUUGAAACUCAAAGGAAUUGACGGGAACUUGUACAAGCGGUGGAGCAUGUGGUUUAAUUCGAUAGUACGCGAAAAACCUUACCAAUUUUUGACAUUUCGAUUAUAAAUAAAUUUUAAAAUUUAUUUUAAUUUUGAAACAGGUGCUGCAUGGCUGUCGUCAGCCCGUGCUGUGAAGUGUUUGGUUCAUUCCAAUAAACGGGCGUAACUCUUUUAAUUUAUUUUGUAAUAAAUUAAACUGCUAAAGAUAAUUUAGAUGAAGGUGAGAAUGACGUCAAGUCAUCAUGGCCCUUAUGAAUUGGGCAACACAUGUGCUACAAUGGUUUAUACAAUAAGUAUCAGUAGAUGUAAAUUGCUGGAAUUAGUAAAGUAAACGAUAAGUACGGAUUACAUUUUGCAAUUCAAAUGUAUGAAGCAGGAAUCGCUAGUAAUCAUGGAUUAGUAUGCCAUGGUGAAUAAGUACUCAAGUUCUGUACACACUGCCCGUCACGCUAUGGGAACGGAUUAUGUUUGAAGUUUUUUCAUCCUAAUUUUGUUUCUUGUUUUUUAUAAAGUUGUAAUAGCAUGCUAAAACAAGAAACAAAAUUAGGAUGAAAAGACCAAAAUAUAAUUAGGGAUUAUAGUGAAGUCGUAACAAGGUAGCCGUAGAGGAAUCUGUGGCUGGAUUAACAAAAUAAAUUUAACAAUUAUUUCUUUUUUCCUUACUUUUUAAAAUAAACAUUAAAUGAUUUAUCAAAUUCAUUAUUUAAG
This 1570-nucleotide ribosomal RNA is filed under the name Cyanidium caldarium. Its description in RNAcentral is "SSU rRNA". It matches the Rfam family "Bacterial small subunit ribosomal RNA". The record is from RNAcentral. Lineage: Eukaryota; Rhodophyta; Bangiophyceae; Cyanidiales; Cyanidiaceae.